GAUGAACGCUGGCGGUAUGCUUAACACAUGCAAGUCGAACGAAGUCUUCGGACUUAGUGGCGGACGGGUGAGUAACGCGUGAGAAUCUGGCUUUAGGACGGGGAUAACCACUGGAAACGGUGGCUAAGACCCGAUAUGCCGAGAGGUGAAAGUAAUUUAGCCUAGAGGGGAGCUCGCGUCUGAUUAGCUAGUUGGUGGGGUAAGAGCCUACCAAGGCGACGAUCAGUAGCUGGUCUGAGAGGAUGAUCAGCCACACUGGGACUGAGACACGGCCCAGACUCCUACGGGAGGCAGCAGUGGGGAAUUUUCCGCAAUGGGCGAAAGCCUGACGGAGCAAUACCGCGUGGGGGAGAAGGCUC
This 359-nucleotide ribosomal RNA is filed under the name uncultured bacterium. RNAcentral's name for it is "bacterial SSU rRNA". It matches the Rfam family "Bacterial small subunit ribosomal RNA", at positions 28 to 416 of the family's 1533-position model. The record is from RNAcentral.